UCCUUUUCCAUCCUGCGUCUGAUGUUUAUGAACUUCUGUGGAAGCUUAUUCUUCUUGCUGCCUCCUGGGGAGUUUCUAUUUUUCUCUUGUUCGUCUGGAGGACCGUCCUUGCUGUAAAGCCUCCAGUGUGUCAAGUUACUUUAAAGCAGAUGACUGAGCAGAGCAAGAAUUUGGAGAAUGAAAACAGAGAACUUGCAGAAAAUAUAUCUGCUUGGGUGCAGAAGACCAACAACGCAAAGAAAUGCUUAGAGGAGGCCAUCAGGCAAAAGAAGCUGCCCUCUGAGAAAGCACUGAAGUUUAAGCCAGGUGUUUCGAAGACCAGAUCUGAUGAUUCGAUGCAGUGAGCUGUGACAACUGGGGAC
Molecule: long non-coding RNA, 362 nt
Organism: Camelus dromedarius (Arabian camel)
Lineage: Eukaryota; Metazoa; Chordata; Mammalia; Artiodactyla; Camelidae
Exons: 5
Source: RefSeq, a predicted model, not a curated record